GCCCAGGUGGUGAAACUGGUAGACACGCUAGCUUCAGGAGCUAGUGCUCGCAAGAGCUUGGGAGUUCGACUCUCCCCUUGGGCA
Molecule: transfer RNA, 84 nt
Filed under: Patescibacteria group bacterium
Lineage: Bacteria
Also listed under: 1 other name
Description: tRNA-Leu
Rfam family: tRNA
About the family: Transfer RNA (tRNA) molecules are approximately 80 nucleotides in length. Their secondary structure includes four short double-helical elements and three loops (D, anti-codon, and T loops).
Source: RNAcentral